RNAcentral lists this ribosomal RNA (461 nucleotides) under uncultured bacterium. RNAcentral's name for it is "partial 16S ribosomal RNA". It matches the Rfam family "Bacterial small subunit ribosomal RNA", at positions 338 to 795 of the family's 1533-position model. The record is from RNAcentral.
CCUACGGGGAGGCAGCAGUGAGGAAUAUUGGUCAAUGGACGCAAGUCUGAACCAGCAAUGCCGCGUGCAGGAAGACGGCUCUAUGAGUUGUAAACUGCUUUUGUACGAGGGUAAACGCAGAUACGCGUAUCUGUCUGAAAGUAUCGUACGAAUAAGGAUCGGCUAACUCCGUGCCAGCAGCCGCGGUAAUACGGAGGAUUCAAGCGUUAUCCGGAUUUAUUGGGUUUAAAGGGUGCGUAGGCGGUCGGAUAAGUUAGAGGUGAAAUCCCGAGGCUCAACUUCGGAAUUGCCUCUGAUACUGGUCGGCUAGAGAGUAGUUGCGGUAGGCGGAAUGUAUGGUGUAGCGGUGAAAUGCUUAGAGAUCAUACAGAACACCGAUUGCGAAGGCAGCUUACCAAGCUACUUCUGACGUUGAGGCACGAAAGCGUGGGGAGCAAACAGGAUUAGAUACCCCUGUAGUC